GAAUAUUGGACAAUGGGGGGAACCCUGAUCCAGCCAUGCCGCGUGUGUGAAGAAGGCCUUUUGGUUGUAAAGCCCUUUUGUUGGGAAAGAAAAGCAGUCGGCUAAUACCCGGUUGUUCUGCCGGUGACCAAAGAAUAAGCACCGGCUAACUUCGUGCCAGCCACCGCGGUAAUACGAAGGGUGCAAGCGUUACUCGGAAUUACUGGGCGUAAAGCGUGCGUAGGUGGUUGUUUAAGUCUGUUGUGAAAGCCCUGGGCUCAACCUGGGAAUUGCAGUGGAUACUGGGCGACUAGAGUGUGGUAGAGGGUAGUGGAAUUCCCGGUGUAGCAGUGAAAUGCGUAGAGAUCGGGAGGAACAUCCAUGGCGAAGGCAGCUACCUGGACCAACACUGACACUGAGGCACGAAAGCGUGGGGAGCAAACAG
Molecule: ribosomal RNA, 424 nt
Filed under: uncultured bacterium
Lineage: Bacteria
Description: partial 16S ribosomal RNA
Rfam family: Bacterial small subunit ribosomal RNA
Source: RNAcentral